GUAGGUGAACCUGCGGAAGGAUCAUUAACACGUAUCCAACUGGAGUUGAUUCAGGGACCUUUGUUUGGGUGAGAAGUUACAGCUGCAAUCGAGAGAUCGUCGCUUGGUUGAGCCUGCUCCGUAAAGUCCCCCGCGUGCAUUGGAAAGUGGCAUUGGGGUGUAUGUACUGGAGAAACCCCUCUGGAUGAUAGAAGGCCAUCACGGCCUGUCACCGCUGCCUUCCGGGUGAACGUGCCCCCCAGGAUGUCCCCGCUACCAGUCGAAACGACCAACCUGUGCAACCAUUGCGUGUUGAGCCCAUGGGCGUCGUAAACCGAAAUACUUUGAACAACUGUUAACAAUGGAUAUCUUGGUUCUC
RNAcentral lists this unclassified non-coding RNA (358 nucleotides) under rhizosphere metagenome. Its description in RNAcentral is "partial ribosomal RNA internal transcribed spacer region". The record is from RNAcentral.